RNAcentral lists this long non-coding RNA (1222 nucleotides) under Pan troglodytes (chimpanzee). RNAcentral's name for it is "long non-coding RNA NONPTRT007477". Lineage: Eukaryota; Metazoa; Chordata; Mammalia; Primates; Hominidae. The record is from RNAcentral.
UUCAUUGGAGCUAGGCAAGUCAUAUACAGCUUCAUCAAAGAAUUCUGCUGCUUUGCUGGCUGAAGCCCAUUUGUUCUUUUCUUUUGAUUAGGUGAAUCUUGAUACUGUUUUCUGCCAUUUCCCCUCAUACUUUGAUUCUUUCCUUUUAAAAGGUCAGACAUUUCAGAAUGAUUAUUAUAUGGCUUUUGCUGCAGUGGUUGCCUGUGCUUUACCCACUGGUCACCAGGAGAACCGUCAGGAAAUAACUGCUGACUGUGGCGGAAUUUGGUUCGACUCAAUUUUUCCACAGUGGGUUUAGCCGGCGUGCUACCAGUUGAGGAAAAUCCAUUGUCACUGUCUGAGGAAUCGCCAAAUCUUCGAGAAAGCCAGUCCCUUAAUGGUCUGAUAAAGGGAAUGGCCAUAAAAAAUUUGUUAGGUGCCAAACCAAGUUUGGAUUUGGGUGUCAUAUCAUUUCUAUGACAAGGCAAUUUCUCAAUAGAGAACCACUCAAUGUUCCGAAUUUCUCUUCUAGUUUUUGGGUUAAAUUUUGUGUCUUUUGGAAUUCCUGGAAUGAUGUACAAACGAGCAAGCUGGUCAUUGAUUCGAAGUUCAAUGUAAUCAUCCUUACAAAUAUAGUCUUUGAUAUCAAAACCAGUUUCUUCAAAGACCUCUCUAGCAGCACAAUCAUGAGGAGCUUCUUCUUUAUUUACUUUUCCUUUUGGAAAUCCCCAGCCUGAUUUUGCUAGGUACCCCUGAACCAGUAGUACAUUUUCAAGUGUCUCAUCAAGAAUAAUUGCACCAUAUGUUGGUACUCCCAUUUUAUAUUCCUUCCAUUCAUCCAAAACUUUUUCCACAUCUUCACCUUGAGGCAGCAAAAACGGACAAUGACUGAAGACAGCUUUAGCAAAGUCUCUUAUCCCACACUGAGGUAAUCCUGGUGUGUUCUGCAUGUAGAAAUCCAAGUAAAACCAAUGGGCAAGUUCAAUCUGAAAACACACUCGGAUUGCAUUGUCUCUUUCCUCGCUGGGAAUAUGCAAAAUAAAUCGGCUGCAGAGAUCGUCCAGGACGCUGCCGGGAAUCUCCACCCGUUUGGUCUCCAUGAUGAGGACCCACAGCAGGAACAGUGCAUCCCGGCUCCGCGCGGCCGGGGACUGACGGUACGGCACUAGGACUCCGGCUCGCCGGAGAGCUGGCAGCCGAGGAAGCCGCGGCAGAGACGACUCCAACGGAGACGAGAAGAGGA